Non-coding RNA from Capsicum annuum, 110 nucleotides. NCBI's taxonomy places the organism in Eukaryota, Viridiplantae, Streptophyta, Magnoliopsida, Solanales, Solanaceae. The record is from Rfam.
UAAUGAUGGUGAGGGCAAUUUCUGAGCAUACACUUGAAUCUCUCCCAAGCUUAGUAUAGAUUUUCUUUUUUUUUUUUAUGCUUAAAAAUCAGAAUCUUGUUUCUCAAACG